Molecule: small nuclear RNA, 114 nt
Organism: Protopterus annectens (West African lungfish)
Lineage: Eukaryota; Metazoa; Chordata; Ceratodontiformes; Protopteridae
Product: U5 spliceosomal RNA
Exons: 1
Source: RefSeq, a predicted model, not a curated record
CUAGUUUGAUUUGUCUUCAAAACACAUAAAUAUUUCACCUUUUCCUAAAUAUUUCUGUGGAGAGGAUCAAUAAGAGUUUAGAAUGCAUGUGUAAGAUGUUGUUUAUUAAUGCUU